CCUAACGAAGACACUAAGGGAUGCUAUAAAGCAUUUUAUGGAGCAUCGGAAAGAACCCGAGCUAUAUAAAGAUCAACUUAUUAAUGGUAUGAUCGACCAUACUUCCACGCAUUAGAAUACGUCGAAUAGACGGUAAUCUUCCAUCAAAAUAACCGGUAGUAUGAUCGACCUUGCCUAAUCUACGCAAUAAAAUACGUCGAAUCUCUUGGAUCCCAAAUACGAAACCAGACAUUAGCUGAAAAAGCUUCAAUAAGCUGGCACAAACAAAAGCCCACCUUGAAGGGGGCCAAGCCCACUUCCUCUGGGCACCCACACAGAAACGGUGCUCAACCCCGACUCUCGCCCGCGGCAAUCCACCUUAACCUCAUCAGCUUCACACCAAACACCGUCACUUGUGCCGGAUAGGCGCCUCACAGUCCCAAGCCAAAGACCGAUCACUGCGUGGCCAUGACACACAGCCGUCACUCUCCGGGGAGGUUCCGUCUGCACAAAGCCGGGUGGAUCUGCACCCCACCCUUUAAGCCGCGCUCUCAGUGGCCGCUCUAUGCCGCCACUGCUCGCCGCCCCUUCGAUCCUCCUAGGAGUCGAAUCGACAACCCACACACUUUCCAAUCUGUCGCACCAAAUUGCGCACCGCCG
RNAcentral lists this long non-coding RNA (639 nucleotides) under Rosa chinensis. RNAcentral describes it as "sRNA RchiOBHm_Chr5g0023681". Lineage: Eukaryota; Viridiplantae; Streptophyta; Magnoliopsida; Rosales; Rosaceae. The record is from RNAcentral.